AAAAGGGAGCGAUUCCGGCGGAGGAUGGGCAUGCGGCGCAUUAGCUAGUUGGCGGGGUAACGGCCCACCAAGGCGACGAUGCGUAGGGGUUCUGAGAGGAAGGUCCCCCACACUGGUACUGAGACACGGACCAGACUCCUACGGGAGGCAGCAGUGAGGAAUAUUGGUCAAUGGGCGGGAGCCUGAACCAGCCAAGUCGCGUGAGGGAAGACGGUCCUAUGGAUUGUAAACCUCUUUAGGCGGGGAGCAAUGCCGGGCACGCGUGCCCGGAGGGAGAGUACCCGCAGAAUAAGCAUCGGCUAACUCCGUGCCAGCAGCCGCGGUAAUACGGAGGAUGCGAGCGUUAUCCGGAUUUAUUGGGUUUAAAGGGUGCGUAGGCGGAUUUUUAAGUCAGCGGUAAAAUGUCCGGGCUCAACCCGGGCCGGCCGUUGAAACUGGGGAUCUUGAGUGGGCGAGAAGUAUGCGGAAUGCGUGGUGUAGCGGUGAAAUGCAUAGAUAUCACGCAGAACUCCGAUUGCGAAGGCAGCAUACCGGCGCCCGACUGACGCUGAGGCACGAAAGCGUGGGGAUCGAACAGGAUUAGAUACCCUGGUAGUCCACGCAGUAAACGAUGAAUGCUAGUUGUCCGGUUCUUUGGGACUGG
This 643-nucleotide ribosomal RNA is filed under the name uncultured bacterium. Its description in RNAcentral is "bacterial SSU rRNA". It matches the Rfam family "Bacterial small subunit ribosomal RNA", at positions 201 to 842 of the family's 1533-position model. The record is from RNAcentral.